This is a non-coding RNA of Aedes albopictus (Asian tiger mosquito), 74 nucleotides long. Lineage: Eukaryota; Metazoa; Arthropoda; Insecta; Diptera; Culicidae. The record is from Rfam.
UGUUCUGUAGCUUAGUUGGUUAAAGCGCCGGACUAGCGAUAACGGAGUCGUGAGUUCGAAUCCCACCGAAACAA